Molecule: long non-coding RNA, 4704 nt
Organism: Mus musculus (house mouse)
Lineage: Eukaryota; Metazoa; Chordata; Mammalia; Rodentia; Muridae
Product: predicted gene, 30655
Exons: 10
Source: RefSeq, a predicted model, not a curated record
AUGGGGGUGCAGAAAGGAAGAAGGAAGGGAGCAAGGAAGAAAAAAGAAAUGGGGGAGGGGGGAGGAACCCUUCCUCCACAAGAUAUCGAAGCCUCUCCCUCUUCAUCUGCAAGCCAGUGGACUGCAGAAGAACUAGCUACAUCUCCAAAUAGAAGUAUCUAGAAUAUGAAAGAAAAAGGAGGUUUGCUUAAGGCUUAAGAACAAACACUCGAGUGUGCUUUGUAUGAUGCUGGAGGCUUCUUUGGAGCUCAAUUUCCAAAUACAGAAUGCAGCACAGGGAGUUGGAAGAGGCCUGGGCACUGAGGGACACUCCUGACCUUCCAGCAAAGCAUCUCCAUUGGGAGUGGAAGGCAAGACACAGCCACACAGAGUUUGUGGCCUUGGGGAAAAACACAAGUCCAUCAUCCCUAUAACUGAAACCUAUGUGUUCCCAUUUUAGUCUCCUACCUUAAAAUCGGGGAAAACUGUUUCCAGUGCAAAUACUUGACCAUGAGCAAGGAUAACAUAGCAAAACAGGAAGAAGCAAGCCUUUGGUGCUGGAAGAAAAAACUGGGGAAGGGGUAGAUCAACCCACAAGCAGCCCCUUCUAGAGCUACCUGCUCUGCUCUUCCCUUUGGAUUCACUUUUGGUGUUUUCUGAGACCCCAGCAAAGGGGCCUUUCUCCUCAAAUGACUACUUCAGAAUUCUAUCAUUGCUUAUGUCCUAUCCCUUCCAGAAAGCCAGCAUCAGAGCCACCCAGUCUGACAACCCAUUUGGCAUGGAAGUGUUAAUGACUGACAGCUACCAGCCAGCUCAGCUCAACUCAAAUCAGGCUUGUCUGGACUGAUAAGCAACUGGCAUGGGGGUUAAUGGCUGAUGAGCUACUAGGCUGUACAGGUCAACUUCGUUUGUUAGAACAUACCCAGAAAGAAUAACUUCCAAAGUGGAGAUCCUAGGGAGGGGCCAGAUGGAGACUGAAGGCAUCGGAGAAGAAAGACUUUUGAAGCAGGUGUCGAAACAGACCACACAGAGGCAUGAUCAAACCUCUGCCUGUCUUUCUGAAUAUUUUGGCUAAUUGAGACGUUGCUGUCCUAUACACACACAUCCACAUGUGCACAAGUGCACAUGCCCUUGUGGCCUAAGCACUUCUAUCCCUUGGUCAUCCAUGCUCUAACACCUGGAAAGCUUUCAGAUUAUCAAAAUUGAGAUCCUGGCUUCUAUCAAUAGGAGCAAGUCAGUAGAAAGGACCGUAAAAACACAAACAGGACAGAAUUUGAGUGUCUAUAUCAAAGCAAGAUCUAGUCAGGUGUCAACAUGAGACUGUAGUGGAAUAAGAGGAGUGCAGGAGAUAAGGAGCACAGAUAUUGCCACAGGAGCAGAGAACAAUGUACGUAGAGUCUUCCAUUAGAAAAACUUCUUGUCCUCUUCUAUCCAGAGAGAUGCCUUUGUCAUCAGAGGUAAGAUGUAGAUAUCUGAUUUAAAGAUGGAUACCAUCUCAGACCCUUAGUGAGAGUGAUGCAUGAAGAAAAUCAAUAUAUUUCUCCAUUUGUGUGUACACCUACAAACACACGCACACACACAUACAAUAGCAAACACACACACACACACACACACACAUAAAUGUAAAUAAAAAACAACUAACAGAUUACUUUUUUGUUCUUGAAUUUUUAUAUAGCAUAUUUCAUUUCUCUUGGAUACUGACAUUUAAGACACUGCCAUUGUCGGUCAGUAGCCUCUGUCUGACAUGUCUCCAGGGCUCAGAGGAACAAAUAGCUGACUGAGGUUAUCAUCAGCAAGUUUUUAGGAUUAAAAAAAGAUGCAUAAAGUUCUACUUAUCAUGUUGUGAAGAAAUCCAAACUUUAAUUCUGCUUCCCUUUGAGGUUGAUAAAAACAAGAGGCUAAGAAUAGACUCAAGAAAUUAGACAAUGAUAAAAAGAGGGUACACGGGGCUUUGGGAAGGCCCACUUACUGUCUGAACAUUGCAUUGGAGGAGCCCUGCUCUGUCUUCAGGGCAUCCGGGAAAGAAUCAUAGCUGCCUCUCCUUGAAGCUCAGCACAGUAAGCCAUCAAUGCUGGGAACGGAUAGGUAACACCCAUUUCAGGCUCCUGCUGCCUGGCCAGGGCCUGAGUGGGGCACUUUUCUCCUGCCUAGCCAAGGAGCUGAGUGGGGCACUUUUUUCCAGAGCCCUGCAUUUUUUGAGGAUGGAGUGAAUGUUUAUGUUUUCAUGAGGCCAUGUGAAAAGAAUGUGGAUAUUAGGAAAGAGCCCUAUUUGUCCAAAUGACAAUUGCUAGAUCCGCUAUGGGCAGCCAUGUUCUCUCUUCCACGGAGUCAGAGUCAGGAAAGACAGAGAAAGGGACAGUGUCUGGCGUCGAGGAUCUAAGGCGUCGAGGAUCUAUGCUCAGAUUCCUUCCAGAUGAGUUUCCUGCCACUUUCUGCUUAUAAUUUUUCACUAGUGACUUAAUUUCUUUGGUUACCAAACAUUUCAAAGCGGUUGGUUUCAUGGCGUCUAUGAGGUGAUGAGCCCAGUGUCUUGCAUGAAUGAACUGUGCAGGGAGAAGGUGUGAAUAAAAUAAUAAAGAGUGCACAAAUAUGUAUAACUCGUUUGAAUCAAUAUUCAUGCCUGGUUACAGCAUGGGGCCGUCUCAGAUGUUGUCACACCAGGCCCGACUGGCCCCUGCAGACGUCCCCUGCAGUAAUUUCCUCAGGAAGUGAGCUCACCUCCCUUCAUGGAAGAGUGUUCUAAAAUGCUGGUGUUUCGCUCAGGCUGUCUCUGAAAGUCAAAGCCUCCAAACCAAGGAUGACAGACAACUGGGCCUUCUCUUCUGCAUGCUCAGAAGAGGCCCUGGUUCAUGGACAAACACAGACUAGCUGGUCCAAAAUCUUCCUGCAUUUCCCCAUCUCUUUUCUCCUCCCACCUGACUCCACACUUGUCUGGAAAUGAGUCAGGAUGGAUGAAAUACAGACAGCUGUGAGCCGUUUGAAGUCGGGAAGAAGCACUGGAUGAGAAGAUUGGAUGGCACCUGAAAAUUCACAAGUUGUUCAGUUGGAGACCAAGAUCAAAGUGCUGGACAGAAUGUUCCACCUAGGAGAAGCAUCCCUCCUCCAUGGUACCCAGCUGGUGGCUCCUGAGAUGCAGUGGCAGCUUAGGGAGAUGGAAUACAUGGGUUCUGGAGUGGACCUUUAAGGCUGUGUUGGUGUCUUAGCUGAUCUCACUACCCUUCUCUGCUUCCUGGUUGCUGUGAGGUGGUUGGUGCUUAAGCUCUUGGACCAUAAGGAAAACAAGAGGUGCCUCUGUUUAAAAGCCUUGCAGAGAAAAAUGGAUCAAAGGUGUCAGCGAGAGUGAGGUGGGCCAGCUCAUCUAAAAAACAGCUCAAGUGCAUUUACUGGAAACUUGAUUUUAAAUACUUUGUGCUGGUCAGCUGGAGCUGAGACAUUAGCUGUGAUUAAGAAGAGACAAGCAUCAUGGAACUGAAAUCUUCUGGGAAGUAUUUCCUCGGAGUCAGCACACGGAAGCUGGGUUCCAGAUGUGGCCAAGGUUGUGCUUCGAACUGGUAGCCAAACUAAGUAAUGUGUAAGAGUCACCCAGGUGGUGCCAGUUUUGACAGUGUGAAGGGGUCAUGGGCAGCAGCCGAGUCUCGGUACUGUGUGGCAGGGUUGGAGUCCCUAAGAGAGCCCAGAAGAGGCUAUUGGUGAAAGCACAGCCCAGCUGCAGCAGAAGACGCUAGCAUUUGGGAGAUGGUAGUACCAUGUGAUGACCACCAAGAAGAGCAGCAAUGGAGCAGACUCAGCCAGAGCCUGGAAAACAAGCUGUGUGUCACAGAGGGCAGAGCUAGAAAAAUGACUCGGGCCCCUUGGAGGAGCCCAGAGGAUCAUGAGUGAAUCAUAGAUAACUGGGCAUUACGUUAUUUACACUGGAGUUUGGUUUUGCUUUGUUUAGAUGGUGACUAUACCCUGGUUCUUCCCUCUUGAAAUAAGAAUUUAAUUUAUUAUGGAUAUGAUAGGAGCCCACAACUGAGAGACUUUGGAUUUUUCAAAGAGACUUGAUUUCUAAGUGUUUGAACGUGUAAAGACUGCAGGACUUUUUAAGUCUAUGAACUGUUUCAUAUUGUGAUGCUGAUGUUAAUAUGUGAUCUCAGGAGUGGAUAGGAAGGGAAAGGUUGUAGCUUAACAGUUCUGUGUUUGUCAAGCUGACAAGGGGUUGAUUGUUCUGGUGAGUUUUGUGUCAAUCUGGCACAAGCUACAUUCAGCUGAGAGAAGAAACUUCAAUUUAAAAAUGCCUCCAGAGGGGCUGGAGAGAUGGCUCAGCGGUUAAGAGCACUGACUGCUCUUCCUAAAGGUCCUGAGUUCAAAUCCCAGCAACCAUAUGGUGGCUCACAACCAUCUGUAAUGUGAUCUGAUGCUCUCUUCUGAAGACAGCUACAGUGUACUUAGAUAUAAUAAUAAAUAAAUCUUUAAAAAAAAUUUAAAAAUGCCUCCAGAAUAUGGGGCUGUAGGCAAGCCUGCAGGGUAUUUUCUUAAUUAGUGAUUGAUGAGUUGGGGGGGGGGGCAAACCAUUGUAGGUGGGCCACAAUGUCCUGUGCUUUGUAAGAAAGCAGGUGGACUGAGCCAUGAAAACCAAGCCAGUGAGCAGUGUUUGUUUCUGCUUCCGUUCCUGCCUUGAGUUCCUGCCCUGACUUCCCCUGAUGAUAGACUAUCAACUGUAAGAUGAAAUAAACCAUUUAUUUC